UGGGGAAUUUUCCGCAAUGGGCGAAAGCCUGACGGAGCAAUACCGCGUGAGGGAAGAAGGUCUGUGGAUUGUAAACCUCUUUUGUUAGGGAAGAUAAUGACGGUACCUAACGAAUAAGCAUCGGCUAACUCCGUGCCAGCAGCCGCGGUAAGACGGAGGAUGCAAGCGUUAUCCGGAAUUAUUGGGCGUAAAGCGUACGUAGGCGGUUUUGUAAGUCUGUUGUCAAAGCCCGAGGCUUAACCUUGGAAAGGCAAUGGAAACUGUAAGACUAGAGAGGGAUAGGGGCAGGAGGAAUUCCAGGUGUAGCGGUGAAAUGCGUAGAUAUCUGGAAGAACACCAGUGGCGAAAGCGUCCUGCUGGAUCUCAACUGACGCUGAAGUACGAAAGCUAGGGGAGCGAA
This 400-nucleotide ribosomal RNA is filed under the name uncultured bacterium. RNAcentral's name for it is "bacterial SSU rRNA". It matches the Rfam family "Bacterial small subunit ribosomal RNA", at positions 355 to 772 of the family's 1533-position model. The record is from RNAcentral.